CUGGGUGAAUAGAUGAUCUGCUAAGAUGCC
RNAcentral lists this non-coding RNA (30 nucleotides) under Mus musculus (house mouse). The record is from RNAcentral. Lineage: Eukaryota; Metazoa; Chordata; Mammalia; Rodentia; Muridae.